CAAUAGCGUAUAUUAAAGUUGUUGCAGUUAAAAAGCUCGUAGUUGGAUUUCUGUGCUGGACGUCCGGUCGGCGCCCUCUGGGCGGUUUGUACUUGUGGACGUUGGGCGCAUUUUUUGUGAGGUCGCGGUUCUGCCAUUAAGUUGGUGGUUUUGCGGGCUUGCAUCGUUUACUGUGAAAAAAUUAGAGUGUUUAAAGCAGGCGUUUGCUCAUUUGAAUACAUUAGCAUGGAAUAAUAAGAUACGGCCUUGGUGGUCUAUUUUGUUGGUUUGCACACCAGGGUAAUGAUUAAUAGGGACGGUUGGGGGUAUUCAUAUUUCAGCGUCAGAGGUGAAAUUCUUGGAUCGCUGAAAGAUGAGCUUAGGCGAAAGCAUUUACCAAGGAUGUUUUCAUUA
This 393-nucleotide ribosomal RNA is filed under the name uncultured eukaryote. RNAcentral's name for it is "partial 18S ribosomal RNA". It matches the Rfam family "Eukaryotic small subunit ribosomal RNA", at positions 592 to 975 of the family's 1831-position model. The record is from RNAcentral.